UUUUACCCAUGGCUAUUCAGCACCUGUUACAUUCAGAUCUUAUCAACAACAAGAAGUUCAUGUGACGGGCGGGAAAAGAGUAGCAUCUGACUUCUUUCGUCCGGUAACAGAUCCAGUCAUACUCGGCAGAAUACCACAGAUUGCUCAUGAAAAGGUCCGCCAGAUUCAUUUGCCUGACGCCAAUGUUACCGAUUUUGGUACCAUGUCUGUUUAUGGAUUUUAUCGUCUAAGACUUGCACCAUUAGAAAUAUUCAUUAAUGGCGCUCCACUCAGACUUGCAAGAUGGCCAAACGAGUUUUACAUUAACAUAGUCAGUGUACCGGAUGGAAGAAGGGGACUACGACUUGGUUAUAAUUCUACUCGGGAUUCAAAAUGGCUGGGAGAAAAAGAACCAUGGGUUUAUGGCUUUUGGUAUUGGAGUUGGGCUGACCAAUCAGUAAAAGUUGCCAAGAUUGAUACCAGUUCCCACGAGAUAACAUUUACAGCA
Molecule: long non-coding RNA, 487 nt
Organism: Patella vulgata (common limpet)
Lineage: Eukaryota; Metazoa; Mollusca; Gastropoda; Patellidae
Exons: 5
Source: RefSeq, a predicted model, not a curated record